UGUCCAGGGAUGGGAAUCGAACCCACAAUGUUCCGCUUACCGGGCAGAUGCCAUGUCCACUAGGCUACCCAGGGC
This 75-nucleotide transfer RNA is filed under the name Cordylochernes scorpioides. Its description in RNAcentral is "tRNA-Thr". Lineage: Eukaryota; Metazoa; Arthropoda; Arachnida; Pseudoscorpiones; Chernetidae. The record is from RNAcentral.